RNAcentral lists this ribosomal RNA (478 nucleotides) under uncultured bacterium. RNAcentral describes it as "partial 16S ribosomal RNA". It matches the Rfam family "Bacterial small subunit ribosomal RNA", at positions 28 to 507 of the family's 1533-position model. The record is from RNAcentral.
GAUGAACGCUGGCGGCGUGCUUAACACAUGCAAGUCGAACGAGAAAUGGAGACGGAACCCUUCGGGCGGAAGGCUUCAUUUCGAGUGGCGGACGGGUGAGUAACGCGUGGGUAACCUGCCUCAUACAGGGGGAUAACAGUUGGAAACGACUGUUAAUACCGCAUAAGACCACAGCACCGCAUGGUGCGGGGGUAAAAACUCCGGUGGUAUGAGAUGGACCCGCGUUCGAUUAGCCAGUUGGCGGGGUAACGGCCCACCAAAGCGACGAUCGAUAGCCGAUCUGAGAGGAUGACCGGCCACAUUGGGACUGAGACACGGCCCAAACUCCUACGGGAGGCAGCAGUGGGGAAUAUUGCACAAUGGGAGAAACCCUGAUGCAGCGACGCCGCGUGAGUGAAGAAGUACUUCGGUAUGUAAAGCUCUAUCAGCAGGGAAGAAAAUGACGGUACCUGGGUAAGAAGCCCCGGCUAACUACGUG